This 497-nucleotide ribosomal RNA is filed under the name uncultured bacterium. Its description in RNAcentral is "partial 16S ribosomal RNA". It matches the Rfam family "Bacterial small subunit ribosomal RNA", at positions 28 to 507 of the family's 1533-position model. The record is from RNAcentral.
GAUGAACGCUGGCGGCGUGCCUAAUACAUGCAAGUCGAGCGAACAGACGAGGAGCUUGCUCCUCUGACGUUAGCGGCGGACGGGUGAGUAACACGUGGAUAACCUACCUAUAAGACUGGGAUAACUUCGGGAAACCGGAGCUAAUACCGGAUAAUAUAUUGAACCGCAUGGUUCAAUAGUGAAAGACGGUUUUGCUGUCACUUAUAGAUGGAUCCGCGCCGCAUUAGCUAGUUGGUAAGGUAACGGCUUACCAAGGCAACGAUGCGUAGCCGACCUGAGAGGGUGACAGGGGAAACGGGAGCGAAGACUCGGUGCAGAGUCGUAGGGGAGGGAGCGAUAGGGAAUCGUGCGCAAUGGGCGAUAGGUUUAUGAAGCAACGAGACGUGAGUGAUAAAGGUAUUCGGAUCGUAAAACACGGUUAGUAGGUACGAACAAAUGUGUAAGUGACUAUGCACGUCUUGACGGUACCGAAUCAGAAAGCAACGGCUAGCUACGUG